Syngnathoides biaculeatus (alligator pipefish) is the source of this 369-nucleotide long non-coding RNA. RefSeq lists it as uncharacterized. The record is from RefSeq and is a predicted model, not a curated record. NCBI's taxonomy places the organism in Eukaryota, Metazoa, Chordata, Actinopteri, Syngnathiformes, Syngnathidae. The transcript is spliced from 3 exons.
GCGGAAGUUCCCGUUGCCUCCGUCAACAUCCCACCCAGAUGAGGAGCCACGGGAGCGCCCAGCGCACCCUGGUGGGGGGAUUGGCCCACUUCGCUGACAUCCCCAGAUGACAGACUCUCACGGGACACCUGACAAAAGAAGAACGACGGGUCGAGAACUGGAGAGCGACGGAGGAAUGCGCGCACGCAGCCAGGAUCGCAAGGUCGGAGAUUAGCGACAAGAAUGGCAAAGCGUGUCAGCUCCGCGAACGCACGGCAAAGAAAAAGGUCACCUUUUUGUCUGAGGACCCUGGACGCGCCGGCGUCGGGAGAGUCAGCGGAGGCGGCGCCGGAGCCGUCGUCGACCACAUGGAGCUGCGCGCGGCGCCAC